CUGAGAUCCAAGUGGCCUGAAUGAGAUUGCAUGGUAUGUGUGUGUUUGUGUAGGCGUGCGCGCCUGCGGGUUUAUGUGCCACGCUCUCUUUGAAUAUACAAACAUUGACGUUCCUCGGCUUCAGGCUAUUCUAACGGAGCACUUUAACGACAGGAUUAAUAACGCCUGCUCUGGAUGUGGACUGAACGCUUUGACACCACAGACCCUUCAGUUAUGUGGCCAGAGCUAGUAGCUAGCUCAGUCCCAGAGGCUUCAAUUUCUUCUCCACUAUUUCGGCAGAAGGUAUAAAAAAGGACACACAAGAGGUGGAAACAUUGAGUGGAGGUCCCUGGCCAAAGGGUUGGAAACAUCACCAAGGGUGAAGGUCCCUGGCCAAAGGGUUGGAAACAUCACCAAGGGUGGAGGUCCCUGGCCAAAGGGGUGGAAACAUCACCAAGGGUGGAGGUCCCUGGCCAAAGGGGUGGAAACAUCACCAAGGGUGGAGGUCCCUGGUCAAAGGGGUGGAAACAUCACCAAGGGUGGAGGUCCCUGGCCAAAGGGGUGGAAACAUCACCAUGGGUGAAGGUCCCUGGCCAAAGGGGUGGAAACAUCACCAUGGGUGGAGGUCCCUGGCCAAAGGGGUGGAAACAUCACCAUGGGUGAAGGUCCUUGGCCAAAGGGUUGGAAACAUCAACAUCCGUGCUACUGUGAGUCAGCAGGGUGUUGUCCAUCAUAAUGCCACACCUGGCCCCCUUUAAACACAGCAUUCCUUCUGAUGUUCUUUGAUGCAGUGUAUGACCUUUUUUCCCCAUCCCCAGAAAGACAACAUAUGGCCCCAGGCUCACCAACCAACCCCAGAUCCUAAUGAUUCUCUUUCCACCAUAUUCACCAAUUCAAUUGAGGAUUUUUUUCUCAGCUUGGCAAUGGAAGGUGUAUGAUCGGAACUCUCAUUAGCAAGUGAGUCUUCUCCAGGUAGUGGAGGCGGUCUGUGGUGAGAUCACUGCAGUGGCAUGCCAAGGAUGGAUCCGGCAUGCUAUGUGUUUUUCCCCCCUCUGCUUGGCCAGGGAACACAAUUGUGAUGUGGAUGAAAACAUGUGGCCAACUCAGCAUGGCAGGGAGUACAAUGCCUGAGAUUUAUUUUCUCUCCGUUCUUGUGUACUGUAUAAUAGUGUAACUUUUUGUUUCUUGAUGAUAUAAAAUGUAUGUGUCAUACAUCUCUGGAAAAAAAUUUGACCACUGCAAAAAAUGAAGAGACUACUGCACCUAUUUCUUUCCUUUCCAAAAAAAGUUGGAAAGGAAGGUUUUGAGUGAGGAACAGAAGGGUUAAAAUUAAGAGACCACUGCAAAUUGAAUGCUUUCGUUCCUCAAUCAAAACAUUCCUUUUCAACUUUUUUGGAAAGGAAAGAAAUAGGUUCAGUAGGCUCUUAAUUUUUUCCAGACCUGUACAUUUUUAUAUUUUUGGGUGGCCAGGAUCAAACUUUAUGUAAAAUGUUCCUCUGAGAAUCUUUCAUUUUGAUGAGAGAGUUUUUUUAUACACACAAUGUUUUCUUAAUGCUCCGUGUGUGCAACAUAUAUGACUGUGUGCAUGAUUCUGACCUGAUUAUUUGAUUUUGAGGGCUGUUCGUAUAGUUAUUAGGCCAGAAUUAAACAUGUUCCCUGUGUGUGUAAGUUUUGGAGAUGUGACUUGUUAUAAUAGGCUUUGUGUUAACAGUUUGGGGAUAUUGGGAUAUAAUUGAGAGAAUAGUGUGUAUUCAAUUGGGAAAAACUAUCAAAUGUAUGCAUUUACUGUAAGUUGCAUUUACAGCAUUUGCUAAAUGACUAAAACAUAAAUGUAAAAUGUGGUGUGCUAACAACUGAUCCUCAAAAGACCACUCCAUUGCCCGUAACAGUGCGUCAAAUACAGGCCAAGAUUGCCAUCCGUAGUAGUAACCACAACUGGUAAAUAUACAACCAUGUAAACCAUGUGAACACUGGCAAUGUCUUUCAAUAUGGAGCAGGAUAGGCAGCUAGGUAGAGAAGUAAAUCAGAAAACCACUAGACAAGGUCAAAAAUAUAAACUGAGCUGCUGUGAACAAUCAAAAUCACUUCUACCUGGCCAAAACUUAACACAUUGUCUGCAGAAUAUCAAUGGCAAAUGAGUGACUGUCCAUGUGCCUGGACAUCGUAGUGGAAACAUAUCCAUGUGUGCAGCCCUAUCUGAAGAUGGGGUGGUAGGACAAAAGCCUCUUAUUGGGUCUUCCAAUGCUGAGUUUCUCAAUUAAAUUGUGUGGGAUACUGUUAGGUUCCACAUUUUAGACGUGAUUCAAGAAUGGUUUUGGGCUAAUACCUGAUUCCUGACCCUAGACCUGGCCCAUAAUCUCCUUUUUCAUUGAGGAGGUGGAAGGACUAUGACCACCAUCCACAUGAGCAUGUCUCUCUUCUUCAGCUCAUGGAUAAGCCAUGUUUGGAUUCACCAUGCCGAAGGAUUAUAU
Molecule: long non-coding RNA, 2450 nt
Organism: Esox lucius (northern pike)
Lineage: Eukaryota; Metazoa; Chordata; Actinopteri; Esociformes; Esocidae
Source: Ensembl